Long non-coding RNA from Cannabis sativa, 769 nucleotides. RefSeq lists it as uncharacterized. The record is from RefSeq and is a predicted model, not a curated record. NCBI's taxonomy places the organism in Eukaryota, Viridiplantae, Streptophyta, Magnoliopsida, Rosales, Cannabaceae. The transcript is spliced from 3 exons.
UCAACUUCACAAGUUCAUGCAUUUUUUUCAUGUUUAUUAUUCAUAGCUGAUUAUCAGGUUUAUCUUAUUCAUACUUUUUUCUCAACUUUACAAGUUCAUGCCUUUUUCUUAAUGGUGUUGCUGGUUGAUUGCUUAUGAGGGGGUUUUUAGAUUAGGAUUUCUGUUAAUUGCUUGCUGAGUCUCGAUGAUGGCGUCAUGGUCGGUGGUGUGCUUGCAAACAUUGAUUCGGUUUCUAGGGAGAUGGUGGUGGCUGAGGCAGAGGCUUCGAAACCAGGUCGAUUUGGGAACGGAAAGGGUUGGAAGGUAGUAGUUCGAUGGAAUCAUAAUGUUCAUUCCAUUCUUGACUCGCCAAAGCUUGAAUCACAUUCCCAAAUAGACCAAUUAUUGAGGAUAAGUUCGGUUUGCUUCAGACAUGAAGGCUUUGAGUGAUGAUUUUGAAAGAUUUAUAUCGUUUAAUCCAUGACAUAUAUACCCUAAGCAAGGAGCAUGAGAAGAUGAUACAACUCACCAUGGUUUUCAGAGCACAUUUUUUUCCAUAUAUAUUAUUUUGUUUGGAGUUCUUGUUGCACAAUGAAUGUUAAUUCUGCCAAAGUGAAAUGCAUCCCAACUAGUACGAGUAGUACCAUUGAUUCUUUCUGCAUUUUGAAUUCUAAACUGAAUUUAUUGACCAUGUCUAUUCAUGUGACACAAGAAAUAUUUUUACAAUAUUAAAUUUAUUUGUAAUUUCAUAACUACUAUCAUAGCUUUAAUGCAUUAUUAUAAUAAAGUG